GCUACAGAAACAAAAGAAAUAUUUAAGAAGCGAAAAGAGCAAUGACGAAAGGUGAAAGCAGAAGUCGAAGCCCGACGCGAAAAGCUUCCUGAUAUAAGCAGAAGCGGCCAGGAGGAGGGAUACUAGCCCGGUCAGUUGGCCCGGGAAGCUCAAACUCAUACUCCGGAGGAACCCCAUACUGAAUUCUGAUCAAUGAGAGUUCAUCUGAAGUCAGAGUGCUAGGAAUGGUGUCUGGAACAAAGACCGAAAGAGGUUCAUCUACAAAACUAGGGUUUUAUGGGAUUGGAACGGAUGAACUCCUAGAACUACUAU
Molecule: long non-coding RNA, 312 nt
Filed under: Elaeis guineensis (African oil palm)
Lineage: Eukaryota; Viridiplantae; Streptophyta; Magnoliopsida; Arecales; Arecaceae
Description: long non-coding RNA (EGUI_LNC079658)
Source: RNAcentral